Megalobrama amblycephala (Wuchang bream) is the source of this 847-nucleotide long non-coding RNA. RefSeq lists it as uncharacterized. The record is from RefSeq and is a predicted model, not a curated record. The transcript is spliced from 4 exons. Lineage: Eukaryota; Metazoa; Chordata; Actinopteri; Cypriniformes; Xenocyprididae.
CCAAUGUUGACAACAUGAUGCUUGUUACAGUCGCCACAACACGUACAGACCGUUUAAACUACAUAAACUGUAAAUGACAGCUCAGUGAUAGUAUAUUAAUGCCACUCAACAACAUAUUUCAGCCCAUAAACAAACAAAUCCGACACACGCUGCGUUAAAGUUCAGGAAGCAAAGAUGUCACGCGACUCACCUGAUAAGGGAGGUGUUUGGAGCAUACACUCAACAGAAGCAGAGCUCUGGGACGUGUGGACAGACAUUCACUAAUAAGGGAUGUGUUUGGACCGUUACACUCAACCAACAGAAGCAGAGCUCUGGGACGUGUGGACAGACAUUGGUUGUAAUGAUGGACAUCUGCUCAUGUACAGGUGUCAGCAGGUUCUCCCAUCACUUUCCACAGCUGGAGGAUCCCACAGGUUUCAUCAAUGCGUAUCCAUUCAGAGCAAGAGUGGGAUAUAUUGUGCCAUCCUGUAAUGGGAAUGAAUGUUGGGACGUUUUUUAUCUUAAAAUAAAUUUACUACAUCAUUUCUGAUAAUCUUGCACAAUGUGUGAUAUGAAUAUGAUGAUUCAUCUAAACUUGUCAAGUAUAUUAUAAGUUUUAUUUAUUUCAUGAAGUAAUAAUUAGAGUCAUGCAAUAUUGUAUUCUGUGAAUGAAUACCAGGACAAACAAAUAUGUUAUUUUUGGAAACGGAUCUCUAGCCAGGCGCUCCUCUUCCUUUCCUUCCUCAGAAUUCCUUCCGUCUCUUUAAUCCCGCUGGUGUCAAUCAUACUUCAUGUCCACAAGGAGGAGCUGUCAAAUGUCCAUAUAUGCUGCUUGAAUCUGCAAAUACUCAUAAACAAACCAUUAAAA